CACUUAACAUUUUCUUCUGGUGUGAAGGAAUAAUUUCCAACUAAACAUCUUAUGGAAAGCUGCUUGCUGAUUUUGCUAAGCACACUUACUGAAAAUUAGUUCUUCUAAUUGCCAAAAAUACUUAUUUUCCAAAUGUUUCUACCUUGAUUCUAGCCAGCAGGCAAGGCAUACACUAAUGGGUAGAGGAGGUAUGAAUCAAACCAUGAGGUUCUGUUUUGAGGCAUCAUACAUCACUUUCCUAGCCAGUCAUUUUCCAUUUAUGCUUUAUCUUCUCACACUAAGCCAUUAUGAUGCACUGAGUUGUCAUGUUGGUGUGUGCUAUUAUACAAAUGUAACCAGAUGUGACAUAAAGCAAUGCUAAAGGGCAGCUAGAAUUACUUCCAUUUCCAGACCAGGAAAUUAUUGUCACUGUGAAUAUUCAUUCAUGGAGGAUGCUUCUGACCUGCAAUGAAUGCCCACUCUCGUGUUUAUUCUGUCUUACAUAAGGAUAAAGAAGACAGACAAAAGUGGAAAGGAUAAAGAAGACAGACAAAAAUGAAAUUACAUAAGUAUCAUCUUCAGAUUAUAAUUCACCUCCUCAUCAUUCCAGAUCAUAUCACUCUAUCUACAAUUUAUAUUGAUAAGAAUCUUCCAGUUUAGAAGGAAGUGAAGCAAAAUAGUAUGACUGCUGGUUUGCAAAUUCCCAAGUGCAAAAAUUAUUAAGAACAUGAAGAACAAAGAAUGAGGAACCAAUCCAGAAGUAUGGGCCCAAAUGACUUUAGCAGUGACCCACUGAAGACAUGCAUGGAACCUAAGCAUGAUUAAAUUGGAUGGUCUUAAUUUCAUUUUAUUCUGCCCAUCAACACUACUGUUAAAGGAGUAAUGAAAACAUUUUUGUUUCAUCAAAUUUAAUAGGGACAUCUUUAACUGUAUGGACCCAGACAGUAUCGUGAUGGAUGUGGAGACAAAAAAAAAAAAAUGUAAGAGAGACAUCAUUGACAUUCACCUCUCAGAGGCAAAAGAAAGUACACUCUGCUCUUUGUGCAUGAACAGAGAACAAUCUCUCAUCUUUCUUGCUACCACCAAAAUUCCUAUGACAUUUUUGCAUGGGGUGCCAGUAACAAAGCAUAUGCUUCUUUGUGGCUCUCAGCACGUGCCUUUGAACAGCUCCUCCAAGUUGUUGGAUGGUGAAUGGGCAGGAACUGCCAAUCUGGUGAGCACUCACAAUUCCACUAUAGCUUGUAAGGAUAAAAUAAUGCAGAGAAUUGAUUGAAGGAAUUCCUACAAUUCUUCUUUUAAGUAUAAUCAUAUGGACCAGGAAGCAUGAAUGUGUUUUUCCAAAUACACCUGGGAAGCCCACGCUGCUAUUAUCUGUGUGCUACCUAGAUUGUGGAUAAAUGAUGGAAGAGACACUUUCACAGGGCAUUUUACAGUGCUUACUUAUGAGAAUGGAAACUGGAAGACUACCAUCAUGAUUCUGAAAAGAAAAAUAUGAAAAAAAUAAUCUGUUCCUACAUGUCCAAGAAGUCAUGGGAUCUUCCUCCAAUGCAAACAAGAAAGUUUGUAAACUGAUUUAAAACAAUCUUUUAGAUCUGUAUCUGGAAAUAAAAGAGUAAAAUAUGUCCAGAAUAUACUGACAUAUUUUAUACAGAAUGAAGUGUUAAUCUACAGAAGGAAGCUUGUCAGCACUCUACAAAACCAAUGCAGGUCAAGUCACUCCCUCCCCAGGAAAAUUUGGACCUGUGCCAGCCAGUAUGCAGUGGUGUGCAGGAAGCCUCCCAGGAGCUGGUCUCUCUCAAGUCCUACAGAAUGACCAGGUAGCUCUGGUACCUCUGGCAGCUGUUAUUCUCAUCCAGAAGCACAGUUCCCUGGAUGGAAGUUAACCAACUUCCAAGCACUUGGCCACACUGACUGUCUGCCACAUCUGGACCUGCAGCUUCUAGGGGCAUAUUUUAAAGCCAGAAAUAACUGGUUAUUAGCAUUUGCCAUUUUUGACAGAGUAUUUGCAAAGUGACUAAUCUGAUUUGCUGCAACAGAUCACUUAUUGUUGAUGAAUAGAAGCUUGGGCAUGUGUAUUUUUGUUCCCCAAAGUCUGUAUAGGCCUGUGUGAGCUUGGGUGCAGUCUUCCCUAUAUUCUUCCAUCCUUUCUAGGAUAUCUCCUCCUCCCCUUCUUGACUUUCAUACGUCUCCUUUCUACUCACAAUAUUCAUACGGUGAAAUCCACUAAGGAUAUUUUGCUGAAUUAAUAUUCACUUCUCAUUAAUGUGAAUAAAGCUUAAGUGAAUCAUUUAUCCUGCAGUAUUUACUGACUUACAGAUAAUAAUCUUGCAUUACAACUAAUAGGUAAAGGUCAGCUUGCAUGAUUCACUGUUAAUUUGUUUUCAUUUAAACUAAUUUACUUAGAAUUUGUACAGCAUUGGCUCCCUAAGGGAAUGCAGCAAAAACUAUGACCUGAUGACAAGUAGAACCAUUAAAUUAUAACAGAAUUAUUAAUAAAAGAGUCUUUUUUAUAAUUUGUUAAAAAUCUUGGGAGAUAUUAGCAACUUAUUUAUGUAAGAUAUGGAAAGUACGUCUGUAAUAUAAUUGCAUAUAAAUUAAAAAUUUGCCUGGAGAGACUGUACAGUGGUCAUAGUUUAAAAAUGAUUGGCAGAUACAUUAACAUUGAGUGCCCCAGGAGAAAGAUAAUGAAUUCUGGGUUUUGAUUUUUUUCUGAUUUCCAAGGAGGAUGUUAGUGUGUUCUUUUGUUUGUGAUGCUUGACAUUGUCAUAACUAGUUGACUUAAAAAAUGAAAUCACUUACAAUGCUGGUCUUGUUAAUAGCUAACUGGGUUAUUUUGUCUUUCAUUUAGCUUAUGAGACAGAGCUAGAAAAAAGAAUGUAUAACAGUUUCAAGGAAUAAAAUGAAGCUUGUUUCAAGUACAUGCAGAUAAGAUAUUUUAGGUGCCAUUGAAUCUUUUAUUAGUAUAUAGCUGCUUCACUUGUUGACAGGAAAACCAAAGAUAUACUUCAUUAUGCUUUAUAAAUUAGAUGCCCUAGCUCUUUGGUUUAUUUAUUGCGACAUGAGAAGUAACACAUUAAUUAAAAAAUCUUGCCAGCUACAGAUGUGACCUAGGUGAUCUGACUUAGAUCAGGCUGUAACCACCUGAAGUCUAUAUAACUGAUUUAUAGACUUCUGCAUGACUGUAGGAUGGCAACUCCAGAUGCCUAAAUGUAGCCAGAAGUGGAAGCUCAAAACACUCUUUUAUUUCCCAUUAACAACAGACACUGAUAUGCUUGCACUCUGCUCACUCAUCAAACUACAUAAACAUUUUCUUCACUUUGUUAAAAUAUUUUUUCUUUGUUAAAAAGGUAAUGUUUGUACAUAUUCUCAGAUGUCACAUCAUAUGACAGUGACAGUUUAUGCUCAUCUCUAGUUAAAAAUAUAGCUACUGAUUAACAUUGUUUUUAGUAAUACACAAGAGGAUGCCCUGCAAUGUAGUGGAAAGAGCAGAAAAAGACCAUUUAGAAGAACUGACAUCAAAUUUCUUGGAAAUGACACAUGCUGAAUGUGCCCUUAAUACUUUUUCAAACAGGGUAUACCUGAUAUCCUAUUUUAUCACAUGCUUAUAGAAACCAGUUUAAAUUUUAUUUGAAAAGCUCUCCUCCAAAUUUCAGUGUAAGAAAUGAGAAACCUUGUUAAUCUCUAAAUGCUUAUCUUGUGCAUUUUGUCAUAUAAUCCCAUUAGUGAUAGAUCCUAAAUUUUAUUCUAAAAUAUCUUAAUACCCAAAGUAAUCUAUGAAUCAUUUGAAUAAUAUUGUAAAGUAUAAAUAUUUGGAAGAUUCCAUAAAAGUGGCUUAUUCAAUAAACAGAUAAUUAAACAUAAUUAGCACCUACUCUCUGUUUAAUUCAAUAUUUCAUCUCCUUUGAGGAGCAAUAGAAAAUGAUCAGAGACAAAUCCUUACCCAAUUGCACCCAAAAUCAGUAGGGACACUCUGGCAAAAUAAGUUCCCCUGAAUUUUUUUCUUAAUCAAAUUUAUAUUUAAUUUGUUAUCUGAAAUAGAUAUGAUAUUAGAUAUUAUAUGAUUCUGAAAAGUCUCAAUAUAAUUAUAAGCUUUUAAUAUCCUCAUAAUCUUUUCCAUCUCAUGUCUCCCAACUUCUUCCCGAACAAUGAAUUUCACAGUAUUAAUAUAUUCACUGGAAAAAUCAAUAUCUUAAUUUUAUGCUAUUAGGUAUACAGAAAUUUCUACUUUAUUAUUUUUAAUGUCCUUAAGGACUGAAUUCUACAGAGAGAGAACAUUUUAAAGAUUGCAAACAGUAAAAUUAUACAAAUAAGUUUUAUGGAACUACAAUUGAAGAUGCUAAUUUUCUUUCAACUCUGCACAGCUAUCUACAGCAGGCAGUUUUAUGUCUACAGGAAAGACCUACAACAGAUAGUAUUUAGGCAAUAAAUAAUUCAGUACUGUAAGUAUUGCCUUCUUUGCUAUCUUUAAAAGAAUUCUGGUUUGAUUUUUAUCACUUAACUAGCAUUCACAUUUAAUCAACAAUAAAAACUUUCUAUUUCUCUAAAAUUGCUUAAAAUUAGAGACUAUAUAAGAAAAUUAAUUGCAUAGAAUGUGUCUAGAAUUCACAGGAUCUAUUUUUAUCAUUUUGUAUAUAAAACUAUGGAAAUUUUUAUUAUGUUCUACUUUUCAAAUCACUGAAGAAGUGUAAAUCUUGCCAAUCAAAGCAAAAGAAGGGAUUUUAUUCUGUUCAACAGAGUAAAACCAGGAGUAUUUCUAUCAUGAUUUUGUGUAUACCUUUAACAAUCUAUAUGUCUCCAUUUCCUUGGAUUUGGGUACAGAUCACCAGUUUUCAUAAAUAAAACCAUAUAAUAGAAAGUUUAGUUAUCGAAUUUUGAAAUAAAUUAAGUAAAAUGGCAACAUAUUCCUAGUGAACUAACUCUAAAGAAGUCAGGCUGAUUCAGUAAAUUACAGUACAUCCCCAGAGAUUCCUGUCUCUGACCCAAGGAGCAGUACAAGGGGAGAAUUAAAUACCCAACUGGAUUACAUUUCUAAAUUAAAUGUAUAUUUCAGUCAGUGAAAACUAAAAUGUGUCUAUCAAUGCAAUGUGUUUUCAACAGGUUUCUUCAUUAAAUUAAGGAACUUGUAAAAGUAUGCUGUAGCUCUGUAGUACUAAUGGGCUUCAGAAAAAACAUUUUGUUCAAAAUGUUCUGUGUUGUUUUUAAAGGCUAUAUAACAAUAAAAUUUUAGGAGUUGAUGUUUAGGAAUGUACUGUCAUUAGUUAUUAUAUUUAGGCAAGAGGACAUUGAAAAACACAUAUCCUUUAGCACACAUCAAUACCAAGAAUCCUCUCUUAAUCUGUCCCUUCAUGAGAAAGGUUGGAGGCUAAUUCAGGACCCAGGAAGACUCUGAUACCUUGAUUUGAAUUGGAGAUGACACUUAAAACCUCCUGAAUUGUUUAUUGUCUCACACACAGUAUUGUGACUGUCAUUACUGUAUUUUCCUGAAGCAAGGAGCUUAAGUGUCAGCUCUGAAAAACUGGGGUGCCUUCCUGAGUGGUACUGAAGAUGAAAAGUGAAGGUAUGGCCACAGUGAAGGGCGAGCAGCAGCUCUGCAGAACAAGAAUAGGACAACAGACUACCAUGCCACUGGUUAGAGGGGAAGAUCUAGCACCAAAAUUUAAAGGAUUAAUGGACUUCUUUGCUCAGACUUUGAAGUAUUUACUCUUCUGGAUGUUCGUUAAUGAUUACUUUGCCUAAUUGCACAGCAAACAGCUAAAAAAUAUAAAGCACUUUACAUAUUCAAUUAAUAGAUUUUCAAGAAUUUGAUUUUCUUGUUUCCUGUGACUACUAGUGGAGUCAUCUUGAAUUAUUUUUUUUAAAUUAAAAAUGAAAAUAUAUCUGUAAGUAUCAGCUAAAAUAAAGUUAAGACAGCACAAAAUUGGUCUUAAAAGCUGAGAAAUACAUUGAUACUAUUGAAUUGUGUUUGAAAAAUGACCCAAGAGUUAGGAACACAUACCAGCAUUGAAAAAGUACCCUGGAAUAACUGUUUAGAACUCUAUUACAGCAUUUUUACAGGACUCAUAAAUGCCUUUCCAAAUACCUUACACCAUAUGUUUGCUUCGUAUUGCCUAUAAAGCUCAAGUAAUUUAUAAGUCUGCCACUUCUCCGUAAAUUGAUGUUAUGAGUGGCUUAAAUUUGUCUGAUGCUGUGGGAAAAAGCCAUUGAAUUUUAUGUUCUCUAUUUUCUGGAUGAGCACAUCUGCCAAAAUAGGUUGCUCCAAUGAGUUAAUAGAGCUUAAUGUAGUUUAUAGGUUGCCAUUGAACACUUUUAAUUUUGAGAUGGGCUUCACUCAAAAAUCAAGGCUACUGAAGAGGAAAUGGUUUAAGUAAUUUAAAUGCUCCUGCAACCUUCAACAUUCUCUGAUAAGUAUUUCUAAGGUAGUCUAUUAUGGGAGAAAAAUUGAAUACAGCCAAAUGUGUACAAUAAAUACAGAGAAAAAAAAUGUAAUUCCACUGAAAUCAGGCGGCUCCUGGGCUGUGAACUACUCGCCAAUGCCCAAUUAACCAGUCACAAAAAGAGUGCAACAUCAGGAGCUGAGUAAAGCCAGUUCUGGAUGUAACAGAGAAUGAAGAACAAAUAUACAAGUGCAAAACAUUACAUAUGAUGAUUGUGGAUGUGAAUUUUGAGGUACUUUGCAGGUCAGUAAGUAAAGCAUGACAGUAAAUGUAAUGCGAGGCAGAUCCUGGAGGGACUAGAAAGAAACUGUCAUCAGUUUCUUCUUCAACAUCAUCUUCAUCCCUACGUCCAUGAAGAGCAUGGAAUGCCAAAGAUUGCCACAGCCCUCCCUCACAGCCUGAAACCAUUGAUGAAUUCUAGAAAUUUUGAGUAGAUAUAUCAACUUGUCUGUAAAAAAUAUGAGCUUUAAUAUAGUGAUUAACUGGUCUAAAAAUGAUUAUUUUAUUAGAUUAUUAAUAAUUAGACCAAAACUAAAUUCCUCCUUUGCAUUCACAGUCUGCUCCUUUGGA
Molecule: long non-coding RNA, 6983 nt
Organism: Passer domesticus (house sparrow)
Lineage: Eukaryota; Metazoa; Chordata; Aves; Passeriformes; Passeridae
Exons: 6
Source: RefSeq, a predicted model, not a curated record